RNAcentral lists this long non-coding RNA (476 nucleotides) under Homo sapiens (human). RNAcentral's name for it is "HSALNT0197125". The record is from RNAcentral. Lineage: Eukaryota; Metazoa; Chordata; Mammalia; Primates; Hominidae.
CUCACAUUCUGCAGCGUAAGGUGCGACCCAUCAUGGUUUCUGUAUGUGUUUUUCUAGCAAGACAAAUGCCGGGAACUGAUUGGCUUGUGUUUUAUCUCGCAUUGCCUUGGGAAAUGAGCCUACUGUGUGGUCUAAGAUACAGGAAAAGAAAUGAUGGGAAACCAGGAGAGAAGGGGAUGGAGAACUCACUUGGCUGGAUUUCAGGUGUCUGGCCCCUCCAGGAGCCCUUUAUGUUGAUUAUUUCAAGACAGGUUUGAAAGACAUAUUUCUAGAAUAUGAAUGAUAUCUCCAUUUCACAGCUAGAGACUAAGGCUUGAGAAUUUACAUGCCCACGAUCCUUCGGGGAUUAAACAAGGAAAAUGAGCCUGAUUCACCCUUCUCCAGAAUGUGUGUUAGUUGGCCAUGAGCAACCAUCCAUAAUGUAUUCUAUAAAUUGAGGAACCAGCUGAUGAUGUUCAAGGAUGUUUUUUAAUUAG